This 323-nucleotide ribosomal RNA is filed under the name uncultured Glissomonadida. RNAcentral describes it as "SSU rRNA". The stretch from base 112 to 323 matches the Rfam family "Eukaryotic small subunit ribosomal RNA", at positions 741 to 955 of the family's 1831-position model. Lineage: Eukaryota; Cercozoa; Glissomonadida. The record is from RNAcentral.
GAUUUCUGGCACUGUGGGGCUGGUCCGGGCCGCAAGGUUUCGUGUAUCAGUUUCUACUUGCCAUCCUUUCCGGUUCAACGAGCAUCAUGGCGGCAACGUCUGUGGUGUUUCGUCCGGAUCUUUUACUUUGAAAAAAUUAGAGUGUUUAAAGCAGGCUUACGCUAUGAAUACAUUAGCAUGGAAUAAUAAUUUAGGACUUUUGUCCUUUUGUUGGUUUUCCAGGAUGAAAGUAAUGAUUGAUAGGGACAGUUGGGGGUGCUAGUAUUUCGUCAACAGAGGUGAAAUUCUUGGACCGACGAAAGACUAACUUAUGCGAAAGCAUU